AUACGGAGGGUGCAAGCGUUGUCCGGAUUUAUUGGGUUUAAAGGGUGCGUAGGCGGUACGUUAAGUCAGUGGUGAAAUCCCUCAGCUCAACUGAGGAACUGCCAUUGAUACUGGCGUACUUGAGUACAGACGAGGUAGGCGGAAUUUAUGGUGUAGCGGUGAAAUGCAUAGAUACCAUAAAGAACACCGAUAGCGAAGGCAGCUUACUAGACUGUAACUGACGCUCAGGCACGAAAGCGUGGGGAGCGAACAGGAUUAGAAACCAUAGUAGUCC
RNAcentral lists this ribosomal RNA (274 nucleotides) under uncultured bacterium. RNAcentral's name for it is "partial 16S ribosomal RNA". It matches the Rfam family "Bacterial small subunit ribosomal RNA", at positions 523 to 796 of the family's 1533-position model. The record is from RNAcentral.